Molecule: long non-coding RNA, 900 nt
Filed under: Rattus norvegicus (Norway rat)
Lineage: Eukaryota; Metazoa; Chordata; Mammalia; Rodentia; Muridae
Description: long non-coding RNA NONRATT017169
Source: RNAcentral
AAACAACACACUGUUGCCCAUCAUAAUGAAGAGUAUUUGUUAGCUAAGAGAUGGUUGUACUGAUGGCUUGUUUUUCAUUUUUUUUGUGCUUUUUGGUCCAUCUAUUAAUAAAAAUGAACCCCGUUACAGAGUCACCAUCAUGUCUCUUCUCACCACCCUCUGAAUCUGCAUUAGCCAGUCAACUAGCCCUUUCAGCGUCAUGUGACCAGCGCGCCCCAUUCAGCUUGGCUGGUGUCGUUUCACAUGACCCAGGCUGGCCAGUCGUCAGGUUGCACCGCCCUUUGGUUCCCGAGCAUGCUGUUUUCUCUCAGCCUUCUCUCCAACCUUAACCAAAUCGGCAGCAGCCACCUCGACCGCCCACACAUUCCUGGCCAAUCAGCUCAGCUGUUUAUUUACCAAAUGUCUUCACAACAACUACAGCAGCAGCCUUCGGCUAACAAAAAAGCAGGAAAAAUCCACAACACCCCCUUCGCCAACCAACUAAAUCCAACGCAACAUCUGGCAAAACCUUUUCAGCAAAUUCUUCCUGGCCGUCAGUCCGGCAGCCUCACCUCACCAUUUCUAGCUUGUUGAAACCCAAAACUAGUAAGUUUUUCCUGCUUAUACAGUUUACUGCUGGUUAAAAAUAAGGAGUAAGCGGCUUAAAGUAAUUCUUUUUCUGGAUCAAAGGCUGGCUGUGCAUAAUUGAAUGGUAACGUACAAUAUAUUGCUUGAAACAACUUUUAAGGGUGAUAGGGAACUCAUAAUGUGACUAGACCUUCAAGUGAGCUUAUGUGCAUGUGUGAGAUGCCAAACUAAAAUUUAAUAUCUCUAACAGAUUUCAGCUUUUCUUCCUAGCAAAAUUUUGUUGAAUCCUAUCACCUUUAAAUGGUUUUACUAACAGUUUUCAAAGUUUAAAAA